GACGAACGCUGGCGGCGUGCCUAACACAUGCAAGUCGAGCGGAGUCAGUAAGAGGAAGUUUUCGGAUGGAAUCUUGCUGGUUUAGCGGCGGACGGGUGAGUAACGCGUGAGCGACCAACCUUGCACAGGGGGAUAACGGACCGAAAGGUUCACUAAUACCGCAUGAGACCACGGUGUUGCAUGACACAGGGGUCAAAGGAGCAAUCCGGUGCAAGACGGGCUCGCGUCCGAUUAGGUAGUUGGAGGGGUAACGGCCCACCAAGCCUAUGAUCGGUAGCCGACCUGAGAGGGUGAUCGGCCACAUUGGAACUGAGAUACGGUCCAAACUCCUACGGGAGGCAGCAGUGGGGAAUAUUGGGCAAUGGGGGAAACCCUGACCCAGCAACGCCGCGUGAAGGAAGAAGGUUUUCGGAUUGUAAACUUCUGUCCUUGGUGAAGAGAAGAAGACGGUAGCCAAGGAGGAAGCCCCGGCUAACUACGUGCCAGCCGCCGCGGUAA
This 498-nucleotide ribosomal RNA is filed under the name uncultured bacterium. Its description in RNAcentral is "partial 16S ribosomal RNA". It matches the Rfam family "Bacterial small subunit ribosomal RNA", at positions 28 to 523 of the family's 1533-position model. The record is from RNAcentral.